GGAGGAGGAAAGACAGGAGGUGAGACAGGAGGUGAGACAGGAGGAGUUGAGACAGGAGGUGAGACAGGAGGAGGAAAGACAGGAGGUGAGACAGGAGGUGAGACAGGAGGAGAAACAGGAGGAAAUGGAACAGCGUCUCCAUCUUUUAAUGAACGGGAGAAAGUCCUUGUUUAGGUAACAUGAUUCCUCAGGGCCAAUCACAGGACAGGAAAAUCUUCAGUGGACGAGGCGUGUCAUUGGUCGAUCCUUUUGUUUUUCUUUUCAAGUUUAAAAUGUAAUUAUGCUUAUACCUGUUUGUAGUUCCUUCAGAAUAAAAGCCCUUUUGUCCUUUAAUUUAUAGCAGUCAUUU
Labrus mixtus (cuckoo wrasse) is the source of this 349-nucleotide long non-coding RNA. RefSeq lists it as uncharacterized. The record is from RefSeq and is a predicted model, not a curated record. The transcript is spliced from 3 exons. NCBI's taxonomy places the organism in Eukaryota, Metazoa, Chordata, Actinopteri, Labriformes, Labridae.